Molecule: ribosomal RNA, 468 nt
Filed under: uncultured bacterium
Lineage: Bacteria
Description: partial 16S ribosomal RNA
Rfam family: Bacterial small subunit ribosomal RNA
Source: RNAcentral
GACGAACGCUGGCGGCGUGCUUAACACAUGCAAGUCGAACGGAAAGGCCCUGCUUUUGUGGGGUGCUCGAGUGGCGAACGGGUGAGUAACACGUGAGUAACCUGCCCUUGACUUUGGGAUAACUUCAGGAAACUGGGGCUAAUACCGGAUAGGAUCUCCUGCUGCAUGGUGGGGGUUGGAAAGUUUCGGCGGUUGGGGAUGGACUCGCGGCUUAUCAGCUUGUUGGUGGGGUAGUGGCUUACCAAGGCUUUGACGGGUAGCCGGCCUGAGAGGGUGACCGGCCACAUUGGGACUGAGAUACGGCCCAGACUCCUACGGGAGGCAGCAGUGGGGAAUAUUGCACAAUGGGCGGAAGCCUGAUGCAGCAACGCCGCGUGCGGGAUGACGGCCUUCGGGUUGUAAACCGCUUUCGCCUGUGCCGAAGCGUGAGUGACGGUAAUGGGUAAAGAAGCACCGGCUAACUACGUG